UCCAGACUCCUACGGGAGGCAGCAGCGGGGAAUAUUGCACAAUGGGGGGAACCCUGAUGCAGCGACGCCGCGUGGGUGAAGGAGCGUUUCGGCGCGUAAAGCCCUAUCGGCAGGGAAGAAGGAGGACGGUACCUGACUAAGAAGCCCCGGCUAACUACGUGCCAGCAGCCGCGGUAAUACGUAGGGGGCAAGCGUUAUCCGGAUUUACUGGGUGUAAAGGGGGCGCAGACGGCAGCGCAAGCCAGGAGUGAAAGCCCGGGGCCCAACCCCGGGACUGCUCUUGGAACUGCGCGGCUGGAGUGCAGGAGGGGCAGGCGGAAUUCCUGGUGUAGCGGUGAAAUGCGUAGAUAUCAGGAGGAACACCGGUGGCGAAGGCGGCCUGCUGGACUGCGACUGACGUUGAGGCCCGAAAGCGUGGGGAGCAAACAGGAUUAGAUACCCCAGUA
RNAcentral lists this ribosomal RNA (446 nucleotides) under uncultured bacterium. RNAcentral describes it as "partial 16S ribosomal RNA". It matches the Rfam family "Bacterial small subunit ribosomal RNA", at positions 330 to 792 of the family's 1533-position model. The record is from RNAcentral.